Molecule: ribosomal RNA, 454 nt
Filed under: uncultured Gammaproteobacteria bacterium
Lineage: Bacteria; Pseudomonadati; Pseudomonadota; Gammaproteobacteria
Description: bacterial SSU rRNA
Rfam family: Bacterial small subunit ribosomal RNA
Source: RNAcentral
UAUCGGAUACUGGGCGUAAGCGUGCGUAGGCGGUUAAUUAAGUCAGAUGUGAAAGCCCCUGACUUACCCUGGGAACUGCAUUUGAUACUGGUUAACUAGAGUUUAGUAGAGGGGAGUGGAAUUUCAGGUGUAGCGGUGAAAUGCGUAGAUAUCUGAAGGAACACCAGUGGCGAAGGCGACUCCCUGGACUAAAACUGACGCUGAGGUACGAAAGCGUGGGUAGCAAACAGGAUUAGAUACCCUGGUAGUCCACGCCGUAAACGAUGUCAACUAGCCGUUGGUCCUAUUUACAGGAUUAGUGGCGCAGCUAACGCAUUAAGUUGACCGCCUGGGGAGUACGGCCGCAAGGUUAAAACUCAAAUGAAUUGACGGGGGCCCGCACAAGCGGUGGAGCAUGUGGUUUAAUUCGAUGCAACGCGAAGAACCUUACCUACCCUUGACAUCCAUAGAAUCA